Ornithodoros turicata is the source of this 927-nucleotide RNA transcript. RefSeq lists it as uncharacterized. Lineage: Eukaryota; Metazoa; Arthropoda; Arachnida; Ixodida; Argasidae. The record is from RefSeq and is a predicted model, not a curated record. The transcript is spliced from 6 exons.
UCCUCGUUGCUUCCUUUGUUUAUGGUGUACACGCGGUGUUAGGUUGCAGUUAUGUUCUUGCUAAUCCAAUAUGAAAAUUGUUGAUCACCGUACAAUCAUCAACUACGAGCCUACUGACAUCGAUGAUUUCGACAAGAAAAGGAUCUACGAAGCUUUUUGGGACGGCAAUGAGGAGACGUGUUCCGGAUACUACAACGCACACAUCCUCCAUAUGACAGAUAAGAGAACUGCAGAAGCACUAAAAGCUGUUGGAGUCCUGCGCCACAGACACCGCCACACAUGACAGUCCCUCAUCCUGUGCCACAGAAAACCAUGAGCACCCCCAACAACACAGCCAGCAAUGCAGUGCUACAGCCUUCCAACAGCAUUGCAGUACCCAGACUAGCUUCAGCAUGUAGGUCGUUAUUCGUCAGCACAGAUGAGCCAAGCGGCUCUGUAAUGUCAGCUACACUAGCGUCGCCAGCAGCAGCUACGCCUUCUGUCUUUUGUGGGUUGCCAUCGCCCAGUGGAGAUGUGGGUGAAGUGUGUGUGGUACCUGAUGCACAAUUUCAGAUGAGUGUGGCUUCCACAUCUUGUGCGACGCCAUCUGCCAGCGAAGAUGUAUCGCGAAGCUCCAUAGUACCUCAUGCACCAGUGUCACAUGCAGUGACUGUACCUGCAGUGUCUUGUGGAGAGUUCGAUACAUAAUUUCUAGUACCAGGACAUGUUUGCGCUGGCUAUGCAAGCUGUAGUGUUCAUUUGUGUUGUGUAUUGGUAGAGCUAGGUUCAUUAAACCGAGUUUACAUCAGAACCGAUAACAUCCUGUUGUGAGUGUACACCUAGAAAAAACCUGUUGAUUUGUUAUACUGUUGCAAGUUAAAGUGACUAUGAAAAGAUCCUAAAAACAUCUGCAAGCAUAUCUAAUGCAUGCACCAUUCAUCAUGUGGA